RNAcentral lists this ribosomal RNA (143 nucleotides) under uncultured eukaryote. RNAcentral's name for it is "partial 18S ribosomal RNA". It matches the Rfam family "Eukaryotic small subunit ribosomal RNA", at positions 1299 to 1458 of the family's 1831-position model. The record is from RNAcentral.
UGGUGGAGCGAUUUGUCUGGUCAAUUCCGAUAACGAACGAGACUCUAGCCUACUAAAUAGUUCGGGGACCCCCACAAAGGGGCCCCGCUUCAACUUCUUAGAGGGUCAGGUGGCGUUUAGCCACACGAGAUUGAGCAAUAACA